Molecule: ribosomal RNA, 621 nt
Filed under: Debaryomyces hansenii
Lineage: Eukaryota; Fungi; Ascomycota; Pichiomycetes; Serinales; Debaryomycetaceae
Description: eukaryotic LSU rRNA
Rfam family: Eukaryotic large subunit ribosomal RNA
Source: RNAcentral
UUUUGCAUAUCAAAAAGCGGAGGAAAAGAAACCAACAGGGAUUGCCUUAGUAACGGCGAGUGAAGCGGCAAAAGCUCAAAUUUGAAAUCUGGCACCUUCGGUGUCCGAGUUGUAAUUUGAAGAAGGUAACUUUGGAGUUGGCUCUUGUCUAUGUUCCUUGGAACAGGACGUCACAGAGGGUGAGAAUCCCGUGCGAUGAGAUGCCCAAUUCUAUGUAAAGUGCUUUCGAAGAGUCGAGUUGUUUGGGAAUGCAGCUCUAAGUGGGUGGUAAAUUCCAUCUAAAGCUAAAUAUUGGCGAGAGACCGAUAGCGAACAAGUACAGUGAUGGAAAGAUGAAAAGAACUUUGAAAAGAGAGUGAAAAAGUACGUGAAAUUGUUGAAAGGGAAGGGCUUGAGAUCAGACUUGGUAUUUUGCGAUCCUUUCCUUCUUGGUUGGGUUCCUCGCAGCUUACUGGGCCAGCAUCGGUUUGGAUGGUAGGAUAAUGACUAAGGAAUGUGGCUCGACUUCGGUGGAGUGUUAUAGCCUUGGUUGAUACUGCCUGUCUAGACCGAGGACUGCGUCUUUGACUAGGAUGCUGGCAUAAUGAUCUUAAGCCACGCGUCUUGAAACACGGACCAAAA